RNAcentral lists this ribosomal RNA (253 nucleotides) under uncultured bacterium. RNAcentral's name for it is "partial 16S ribosomal RNA". It matches the Rfam family "Bacterial small subunit ribosomal RNA", at positions 524 to 776 of the family's 1533-position model. The record is from RNAcentral.
UACGGAGGGGGCUAGCGUUGUUCGGAAUUACUGGGCGUAAAGCGCGCUUAGGCGGACCUGCAAGUCAGGGGUGAAAUCCCGAGGCUCAACCUCGGAACUGCCUUUGAUACUGCGGGUCUCGAGUCCGGGAGAGGUGAGUGGAAUUCCUAGUGUAGAGGUGAAAUUCGUAGAUAUUAGGAAGAACACCAGUGGCGAAGGCGGCUCACUGGCCCGGUAAUGACGAUGAGGCGCGAAAGCGUGGGGAGCAAACAGG